RNAcentral lists this ribosomal RNA (331 nucleotides) under uncultured Lachnospiraceae bacterium. RNAcentral's name for it is "bacterial SSU rRNA". It matches the Rfam family "Bacterial small subunit ribosomal RNA", at positions 28 to 339 of the family's 1533-position model. Lineage: Bacteria; Bacillati; Bacillota; Clostridia; Lachnospirales; Lachnospiraceae. The record is from RNAcentral.
GAUGAACGCUGGCGGCGUGCCUAACACAUGCAAGUCGAACGGAGAUUAGACGCUGACGAGACUUCGGUCAAAUCUUGUUUAAUCUUAGUGGCGGACGGGUGAGUAACGCGUGGGCAACCUGCCUCAUACUGGGGGAUAGCAGUUGGAAACGACUGAUAAUACCGCAUAAGCGCACAGCAUCGCAUGAUGCAGUGUGAAAAACUCCGGUGGUAUGAGAUGGGCCCGCGUCAGAUUAGCUAGUUGGUAAGGUAACGGCUUACCAAGGCGACGAUCUGUAGCCGGACUGAGAGGUCGGACGGCCACAUUGGGACUGAGACACGGCCCAAACUCC